AUAGCUAUUUUUUUUAAAAAAAAAGGAAUGGUCUUCCACAUUGUAGAUAAAGUCUUCUCGCGCAUUCUAGGUGCGAGAAGGAUGAUGCAGUUGCUACCAGAGAUGGAGUCGGGGGGGUGAUAAAGAAGAAAGAGAUAGGCAAGAAGAAAGAAUAGUCUAAAAUAUAAUGAAGACAGACAGCUGAAAUGCAUUUAGUUGUGACCUUCACAGCUGGUUUCACGUUACCAGGUGGUUUUGAUAGCAUCGAUAGCCCUAAUAAGGGGAUGGCGAUUCUAAUUAAAAAAAAAUAAAAAAUUAGUUUUUCGUGCAUUUGUUGGUUCGAACGCCAUCGCGUUUUCCAUGGCGACAAAUGCAAUAUCCUCUGCUUUAUAUGGUCACAGCUUCUGUCGAUGACAGCAGUUGUAAUUGCAUUUGCAACGGGUAUGUAUGUUACGUUAGCACAUUCAUUUUUUUCUAUAAAUGUAAACUCACAUUUGAAUCUUUAUGUCAUAGAAUUUUCACCCACUUCAACGUUCGACUUAAAUAUUUAGGAAUUCAAUUACUAACACUUGAAAUCGCUCUCCUGCUCAUGUUCAUGAACUGCACAAGUCUUUUUCUUACAUAUUACUACUAAUAUAUAUCGCGAGUUCAGUUCAAGGAACAUAAUGGAAAAAUUUACACAAGGAAAGAGAUGCAACCGAUGAAAUAGACGGUACACUAAGUGAUUUCUUCUAAUCUGUCUAGAGUUACACGGUACAUGUGUUGGGGGUUUUGUGUGUGGGUGGGUGGGGUGGGGGGAGUAGAUAGCAAAUACCUCAUAGAAUUAGUCGAGGUGCGGACUUGAUGCUUGUGUCUCUCUACACUUCUUUUUCAGGAAGAUACAUGACCCACACGCAGUAAAGGGUGGUCAAUUGAGCAUCUUAUUAUGUAUAUAGAAAAUUACACGAAGUAUAUAUGUCAAAAAAUACUUUUUGUGUGUAUAGAAUAUUUUUUUAUCAGAUUUAUCCAGCAUACUGGCCUCAGCACUGCCCACACAUACAGAAUGAAAGAGAUGCAACCAAUGGAACAGACAGUAACAGCGAGACCAACUGAAUGUGCUAAAGUAGCAUACAUACCAGUUACAAAUGCAAUUACAACUGCUGACAUUGCCACGAGCUGCGACCUAGCUCCAACUUUACUGAGAGACCACAAAUAACCCAAAUCCUGAUAGGACAUUAGACGAGGAUUUGUCGCCAUAUAGAAGUAGCUGAAUAUAGCACCAGCGGAGCAUGCAAAGGCAAUGGCAUCCGUUAUAACAAAUGCACGAAAUGCUGAUUUUCUUAUUAGAAUUGCCAUCCCCUUAUUAGGGCUAUUGUCAUCGCUUUCAAAACCUCCCGGUAAUGUAAAACCAGCUGCAAAGGUGACUGUGACUAAUAGAGUAGCCACGAAAAGUUACAUUUGAGCUGCUGAUAAGAUACCUUUGAUGUUUAUGUCGCGUUCCUUAGCUUGGUUGAAAAUUAUCUUCUGCCGAUCCAUCUGGUUCAGCUUGGGUGAAUGUCGUCCCAAUUGAACAAUGGAAUUAAAGAAAUUGUUAAACAAGCUGGGCGCGAUUCUAUCCUUGUCAUCCGUCCACUCUGUGCAAGACACUGCCACGUCAAAUGGAGUCUUGUUUUCCUUGUUAUAUGACAUCUUCUUUGCUCGGGGAUGAUCUUUUAAUUCCAGAGGCACCUAGCCCCAGAAAUUAGAGGAAGCCAGCAAAUGCAGAGGAGUGUUGCCAUCGUUGUCCGGAUCCUCGAUAAGCUUAUCCCACUUUGUGGGCUUCAAUAAGUAACUGACCACAUUUGCUCGACUGCAGAAUAUGGCUUCAAGAAGAGCAUUUCGUCCGUUGCUGUCGAGCAUUUCACAGCAAUCAGGGCAGUGAUUUAACAGCUCAUGUAAAACGUCUACCUUACCUGCACCGGCUGCAAUGUGAAUUGCUGUUAUUCAGUCAUUUUAACUGCCUGCUGGAAGUUAGGCUAAGGAUCUUUUUCACCCCAGCAUAUCGGAAACUACUUCUUUGAAUCCUAAAAGAGCAGCAAAAUGCAGCGAAUUCCACCCCCCUACGUCAGGUUCCUCACAUAAAGAGUUAUUCCAUUGCAACAGCAAUCUCGCGCAAUCUGGAUGCAUAUGUCAAAUAUGAUGAUGAUAAGGAGUUAAAUCAACACAAAUUUAGACUCCCCAGUUUAGUCUAUAAGUGUGUCUGGGGAAGGGUAGAGUGUACGCAGACCUUACCACGAGGCUGUUUCCGAUAGACUCUCAGCUCAAGAGAAAAUAGUCCAAAAUAGAACAAUACAACAACAAAAUAAUACAAUAGUCGAAGUACAAGAAACAACAGAUAGAAACAAAAAUCAAAAAGAGAUGUUAAUACAGUGAGAGUAACGACAAAAAAAUUUGUACAUACCCGUGUGUUCCUGAAUUACUGCUGCAUGUAGAGGUGUUCGAUUUAAUGGACCUGAGGAAGAAGUUGGUUGCUUGCAGGAGUUCAAGAUUUCACUCAAAUCUUCACAAAGACCAGACUCAGUUGCCAGAUACAGUGUUGUCUCCCGGGCCUUGUUGGAUGGAAAUUCGAAUUCAGGAUCUUCUUUCACCGACAGUCUGGCUACAUCUUGAUGUCGGCUCCGCAAGGCCUUGUGCAGCGCUGUAUCUCCAUUCUCAUCUGUCGUCCUCAUGAUUGUCUCCUUAUGAUGCUCAUGUAUGCUAAGUAGCAAGUGGACUACUUCGAUGCGACCUUCAUUAGCUGCUAUGUGAAGCGCAGUCUCAUUCUUCUUGUUCCGAUGGCAUAACAUUGCCGGACUAAUC
Molecule: long non-coding RNA, 2796 nt
Filed under: Capsicum annuum
Lineage: Eukaryota; Viridiplantae; Streptophyta; Magnoliopsida; Solanales; Solanaceae
Description: long non-coding RNA (CANN_LNC018400)
Source: RNAcentral